CUGUCCCACGUAACGAAAGCCCAUGAGAGGCUGUCCCAGGCAUAAGCUCCUGGCGGGCUGUCCCAGGCAUGAGCUCCUGGCCGGCUGAUCCACCUGUAAGCCAGUGGGGGCUGUCCCAGGCAUAAGCUCCUGGCAGGCUAUUCCACAUGACAAGACUAGUCCAUACCAUAUAUCUCUUUCUUUUCAUUAAAUCAUUAUGUGUUGCUUUCAUCAAAUCAAUUCUGACUUACAUUAUGAUCAAUUCAGAUAUGUCAUAUCCAUGUAAUCAUGCCAUCAAUCUCUGAUACAUAUAUAUAUUGACAUACAUACUCAUGCUCAAAAUCAAAUAACAGUAUCUCAGGUAUAAUAAAUUCAUCGAUCUCAAAUCCAAUGAUGCAAAAUCAAUAAUGCAAGACCAACAGUAAAAUAGCAUAUAUAUAUAAUAGUGAUCAUGUACAGGGAUUCUUACCUUUACCGGUGACUGAUCCAAGUACAGAAAUCAAUGUUCUUCUUUGAUUUAUGAAUUUCUUUAACAAAAUAUUCCACUCGAUAUCAUUUGCAGACAAUCAUCUCUUCGUAACCCUGAUAAAAUAUAAAGAUCAUAUAUGGAGAAAAUUACCGAUAAUCGAUCCUAAUAAUACAGAUCGAGGACCUCUCUUAUGAUUAACCAAAAUUAGGAUUUGUCUAUGUAUCUGGAUCCUCCACUGAUCCAUAAGAAUUUUAGAGAGAGAAAAUUCAUGAAGAGAGAGAAAAUUUUAGAGAGAGAAAGUAGAGAGAGAAAUUUUCGUAUCCUUCCGAUGAGGCACUCAUGAUCGAGAUCAUCAGAGGUCCUAUCAGGGUGACUCAAUAUGAAUCAAGUGUUACAAAUUUCGAAUAGGAUCAAACUGGGAUCAGAUCUACCGCACGAAUUUCGGAGCAACCUCAGAUCAUCUUAUUUUCAUCUCAAUUUUAUCCUAGGGUCUGUGAUGAAAUCAGAGAGAGAGGAAGACUCUAGAGAGACAAAAUCCAU
RNAcentral lists this long non-coding RNA (988 nucleotides) under Elaeis guineensis (African oil palm). Its description in RNAcentral is "long non-coding RNA (EGUI_LNC003790)". Lineage: Eukaryota; Viridiplantae; Streptophyta; Magnoliopsida; Arecales; Arecaceae. The record is from RNAcentral.